GACGAACGCUGGCGGCGUGCUUAACACAUGCAAGUCGAACGGUAAGGCCCUUCGGGGUACACGAGUGGCGAACGGGUGAGUAACACGUGGGUGAUCUGCCCUGCACUUCGGGAUAAGCCUGGGAAACUGGGUCUAAUACCGGAUAGGACCCUGGGAUGCAUGUCCUGGGGUGGAAAGCUUUUGCGGUGUGGGAUGGGCCCGCGGCCUAUCAGCUUGUUGGUGGGGUGAUGGCCUACCAAGGCGACGAGGGGUAGCCGGCCUGAGAGGGUGACCGGCCACACUGGGACUGAGAUACUGCCCAGACUCCUACGGGAGGCAGCAGUGGGGAAUAUUGCACAAUGGGCGCAAGCCUGAUGCAGCGACGCCGCGUGAGGGAUGACGGCCUUCGGGUUGUAAACCUCUUUCAGCACCGACGAAGCGCAAGUGACGGUAGGUGCAGAAGAAGGACCGGCCAACUACGUGCCAGCAGCCGCCGUAA
Molecule: ribosomal RNA, 478 nt
Filed under: uncultured bacterium
Lineage: Bacteria
Description: partial 16S ribosomal RNA
Rfam family: Bacterial small subunit ribosomal RNA
Source: RNAcentral